This 440-nucleotide ribosomal RNA is filed under the name Caulobacter sp. G12. RNAcentral describes it as "bacterial SSU rRNA". It matches the Rfam family "Bacterial small subunit ribosomal RNA", at positions 1 to 450 of the family's 1533-position model. The record is from RNAcentral. Lineage: Bacteria; Pseudomonadati; Pseudomonadota; Alphaproteobacteria; Caulobacterales; Caulobacteraceae.
CUGGCUCAGGCUGGAUCACCUCCUUAGAGUUUGGAUCCUGGCUCAGAGCGAACGCUGGCGGCAGGCCUAACACAUGCAAGUCGAACGAACUCUUCGGAGUUAGUGGCGGACGGGUGAGUAACACGUGGGAACGUGCCUUUAGGUUCGGAAUAACUCAGGGAAACUUGUGCUAAUACCGAAUGUGCCCUUCGGGGGAAAGAUUUAUCGCCUUUAGAGCGGCCCGCGUCUGAUUAGCUAGUUGGUGAGGUAAAGGCUCACCAAGGCGACGAUCAGUAGCUGGUCUGAGAGGAUGAUCAGCCACAUUGGGACUGAGACACGGCCCAAACUCCUACGGGAGGCAGCAGUGGGGAAUCUUGCGCAAUGGGCGAAAGCCUGACGCAGCCAUGCCGCGUGAAUGAUGAAGGUCUUAGGAUUGUAAAAUUCUUUCAGUAGGGACGAUA